This 1929-nucleotide long non-coding RNA is filed under the name Gallus gallus (chicken). Its description in RNAcentral is "lncRNA (ENSGALG00010012475.1)". Lineage: Eukaryota; Metazoa; Chordata; Aves; Galliformes; Phasianidae. The record is from RNAcentral.
GGGGUCUGAGGCUGUCAUCCUGGCCUGGCUAUCCACCCUCACAUCAAAUUCAUCAUCGACUGCAACCUGAGAAGGUUGCAGGGAAGGUGGUUGCCAAAGCACAGAGGCUCACACAAGGAAGCAGGCUGGAAGCAGGGACACGUGGCUCUAGGGCUGGAUGGGUCAAGACCAGCCCUGCUGGAGAUGGGACAAAGUGCCCCAUGGCUCAUGGCAUGAGAUCAGCCUCCGUGCCUCGCCUGUGGCCACACGCACUGAUGGCAGAGCAGAGACAGAAACCUGGAUCCAGAAGUCCAGAGGGCUGAGAUGUGGCCAGCUUUUGAGGCUUUGGAGAAGGCAGUCUUGUUUUAACUCAGCUUGUGAUUUCAGGGCAUGUUCAAGAAGCGGUUUGCAAAUCCAGAGUGGCUUCUAACAGCACCCCGGGCCUUUGAUCUCUGACUCUUGCAGAGAAGAACUUCAGAACCUGUGAAAGCUGAGAGAAACCACCCCUGUCGCUACCUGGUGCUCACCAGCUUCACCAGCAGAGUUGCCCCAGGAGCGGUGAAACAUAUCGAGUUUUAUCUGCGGGAUGAGUGUGAAAGGACGAGAAGAACAACUUCUCAUGAAUGAAGAAUCAUCCAGCUUGGUGAUGAAAAAUAAAAAAGAAAACCAACAAAACAGGAAGGAAAACAGUGAAAACUCUGAUGCUCCUUGGGGAAUAUGAAGAGACACAGAUUUCAUUUAAGAUAACAAAAAAAAAAAAAAAAAGAGAAGAAAUAAAAACAAAAACACCACCACCACCAACAGAAAGCAGCAGAAGUACCAAGAGUCGGAUGGGUGAAUGCUGCUCUUCAGAGCAGUCCCUGCAAUGGGGACUCCCCAGCCGUGAGGUCCCCAGCUCCCGCAGCAGCUCGGCAGCUCCCUCCCCUCCUCCACUUCUGCACUACGAUUCAUAUGGUGACUGCUGCAGUAAAAUCAGGAGCAAUGAAGACUAUAUAUAAAAGGGCUGGAGUAAAGGCAAGUGGCACCUCAAUUCUACUUCUGAGUAAGCCUUUUGUUUUUAGCAAAACAGGCACAUCAGUGCUGCUCCAGCCAGCCACAGGCUCAGCUUUCCCUGUGGAAGCUGGCAAGGAGCAGCAGGUCUGAGCCUCAGAACUGCAGCGGAGAGGAGUUCCACCUCCUCCUGCUGGUGGCCAACCUUGACUGUUGGCCUUCCUCUGGGGACGGAGGCAUCCCCAUGCUCCGCUGGUCUGCCUAUAGCGAUACAGAUGGGUGACUGGUGAGACCGGGCUGGGCCAGAGCCAGAGGCAGUUGUGCUGGUACAGAGCAGCGGCCGCUGCCUGGAGUUGGGCUACUCUUCGAUUUGUUGCUUUUUUAAUUACUUUAAUUUGUAUUUAUUUGUUUCUCGGAGGUUUUUUCAACAGGAAAACUUUGAAGAAAUGUUGCUUUUCUCCCCUCUCACUGAAUAAAGUAAAAAAUAAAAAAGGAAGCCCAAACUCCAAAUGUCAGAAAGCCCUCUGCUUCUUCUGCAAAACAGAAUUCUUAUUGUCCGACAGCCCCAACUUAUUGACAGGCAGAAAAAAAGCAGGCAGACCAUAUGAUGGCAGUGGAAAAAAAAAAAAAAAGAAGAAAAAAAGGAAAAGAAAGAAAACCAGAAAGAAGAAAGACAAACAGCCUCCUACACUGGAUGCAGCUCAAUUCCCAAGAACGAUGCUGCUGCCACGAGUGGGGCUUGGGCCCUGGGUACCUGAGGUGCUGGGGAGCUGCCCUGCUGCCAUGUCCCACAACCAGCCCAUCGAUUGGAGGUGGCCCUGAUUCCCCACAUUACUCAGAAAUAAUAAAUAAAAGUUCCCCUUCCAGCAUCUAAUAGGGCGCUUCUGGUUUUGCUUCCAGCUGUUGAGGCCUACUUGGUGUUUCCUGCCCCAUGGUGGCCCAGAGGGAUGCAAGGGCAGG